AUUGAACGCUGGCGGCAUGCUUUACACAUGCAAGUCGAACGGCAGCACGGGGGCAACCCUGGUGGCGAGUGGCGAACGGGUGAGUAACACAUCGGAACGUGUCCUUUGGUGGGGGAUAACCAGUCGAAAGACUGGCUAAUACCGCAUAAGCUCGCAAGAGGAAAGCAGGGGACCUGCAAGGGCCUUGCGCGAUUGGAGCGGCCGAUGUCCGAUUAGCUAGUUGGAGGGUAAAGGCCUACCAAGGCGACGAUCGGUAGCUGGUCUGAGAGGAUGAUCAGCCACACUGGGACUGAGACACGGCCCAGACUCCUACGGGAGGCAGCA
This 324-nucleotide ribosomal RNA is filed under the name uncultured bacterium. RNAcentral's name for it is "bacterial SSU rRNA". It matches the Rfam family "Bacterial small subunit ribosomal RNA", at positions 30 to 353 of the family's 1533-position model. The record is from RNAcentral.